This 984-nucleotide ribosomal RNA is filed under the name human gut metagenome. Its description in RNAcentral is "bacterial LSU rRNA". It matches the Rfam family "Bacterial large subunit ribosomal RNA", at positions 1942 to 2925 of the family's 2925-position model. The record is from RNAcentral.
AUAACGGUCCUAAGGUAGCGAAAUUCCUUGUCGGGUAAGUUCCGACCCGCACGAAUGGUGUAACGAUCUGGGCACUGUCUCAACUACCCACCCGGCGAAAUUGUAGUACCGGUGAAGAUGCCGGUUACCUGCGGCAAGACGGAAAGACCCCAUGGAGCUUUACUGUAGCCUGAUAUUGGGUUUCGGAAAUCUAUGUACAGGAUAGGCGGGAGACUGGGAAACAUGAGCGUCAGCUUGUGUGGAGUCGAUGUUGGGAUACCGCCCUUAGGUUUCUGGAAUUCUAACCUGCGGCCGUGAAUCCGGUCGGGGGACAUUGUCAGGUGGGCAGUUUGACUGGGGCGGUCGCCUCCGAAAAGGUAACGGAGGCGCUCAAAGGUUAGCUCAGCACGGACGGAAACCGUGCCUCUGAGUGUAAACGCAAAAGCUAGCCUAACUGCGAGGGUGACGGCCCGAGCAGUAACGAAAGUUGGAGUUAGUGAUCCGGCGGUAUGUGAAUGGAAAUGCCGUCGCUCAACGGAUAAAAGCUACCCUGGGGAUAACAGGCUGAUCUCCCCCAAGAGUUCACAUCGACGGGGAGGUUUGGCACCUCGAUGUCGGCUCAUCGCAUCCUGGAGCUGAAGUCGGUUCCAAGGGUUGGGCUGUUCGCCCAUUAAAGCGGUACGCGAGCUGGGUUCAGAACGUCGUGAGACAGUUCGGUCCCUAUCUGUUGCGGGCGCAGGAAUAUUGAGAGGAGCUGUCCUUAGUACGAGAGGACCGGGAUGGACGUACCGCUGGUGCACCAGUUGUUCUGCCAAGGGCAUAGCUGGGUAGCUAAGUACGGACGAGAUAAACGCUGAAGGCAUCUAAGCGUGAAACUCCCCUCGAGAUAAGUGUUCCCAUCCUUCGGGAGUAAGGCCCCUUGUAGACUACAAGGUUGAUAGGUCAGGAGUGGAAGUGCAGUAAUGUAUGGAGCGGACUGAUACUAAUAGGCCGAGGGCUUGACCU